This 253-nucleotide ribosomal RNA is filed under the name uncultured bacterium. Its description in RNAcentral is "partial 16S ribosomal RNA". It matches the Rfam family "Bacterial small subunit ribosomal RNA", at positions 524 to 776 of the family's 1533-position model. The record is from RNAcentral.
UACGUAGGGCGCAAGCGUUAUCCGGAAUUAUUGGGCGUAAAGAGCUCGUAGGCGGUUUGUCGCGUCUGCUGUGAAAGCCCGGGGCUCAACCCCGGGUCUGCAGUGGGUACGGGCAGACUAGAGUGCAGUAGGGGAGACUGGAAUUCCUGGUGUAGCGGUGAAAUGCGCAGAUAUCAGGAGGAACACCGGUGGCGAAGGCGGGUCUCUGGGCCGUUACUGACGCUGAGGAGCGAAAGCGUGGGGAGCAAACAGG